UAAUGUAAAUACUGAGGUAUAGGAUACUAAGGUAUAUAUAAUGUAGAUACUGAGGUAUAGAUAAUGUAGAUACUGAGGUAUAUAAAAUGUAGAUACUGACCCCAGUACCGGUUAUGAAAGCCGUUCAGGCCACUAG
Mizuhopecten yessoensis (Yesso scallop) is the source of this 136-nucleotide long non-coding RNA. RefSeq lists it as uncharacterized. The record is from RefSeq and is a predicted model, not a curated record. Lineage: Eukaryota; Metazoa; Mollusca; Bivalvia; Pectinida; Pectinidae. The transcript has 3 exons.